UAGAACGCUAGCGGCAGGCUUAACACAUGCAAGGUCGAGGGGCAUCACGGGUAGCAAUACCUGGUGGCGACCGGCGCAAGGGUGCGUAACGCGUGAGCAACAUGCCCUAUACAGGGGGAUAAUCCAGGGAAACUUGGUCUAAUAUCCCAUAGCAUUUAGAGGUGGCAUCACCAUUAAAUUAAAGCUUCGGUGGUAUAGGAUUGGCUCGCGUGACAUUAGCUAGAUGGUGGGGUAACGGCUCACCAUGGCUAUGAUGUCUAGGGGUUCUGAGAGGAAGACCCCCCACACUGGGACUGAGACACGGCCCAGACUCCUACGGGAGGCAGCAGUGAGGAAUAUUGGACAAUGGAUGGAAAUCUGAUCCAGCCAUGCCGCGUGCAGGAAGACGGCCCUAUGGGUUGUAAACUGCUUUUAUAUGGGAGCAAUAAGGUCUACGAGUAGACCGAUGAGAGUACCAUAUGAAUAAGCAUCGGCUAACUCCGUG
RNAcentral lists this ribosomal RNA (484 nucleotides) under uncultured bacterium. RNAcentral describes it as "bacterial SSU rRNA". It matches the Rfam family "Bacterial small subunit ribosomal RNA", at positions 31 to 507 of the family's 1533-position model. The record is from RNAcentral.